RNAcentral lists this ribosomal RNA (305 nucleotides) under uncultured bacterium. Its description in RNAcentral is "bacterial SSU rRNA". It matches the Rfam family "Bacterial small subunit ribosomal RNA", at positions 331 to 635 of the family's 1533-position model. The record is from RNAcentral.
CUUGGCCUACGGGGGGCAGCAGUGAGGAAUAUUGGUCAAUGGACGAGAGUCUGAACCAGCCAAGUAGCGUGAAGGAUGACUGCCCUAUGGGUUGUAAACUUCUUUUAUAUGGGAAUAAAAUGUUCCACGUGUGGGAUUUUGUAUGUACCAUAUGAAUAAGGAUCGGCUAACUCCGUGCCAGCAGCCGCGGUAAUACGGAGGAUCCGAGCGUUAUCCGGAUUUAUUGGGUUUAAAGGGAGCGUAGGCGGAUUGAUAAGCUAGAGGUGAAAUGUCCGGGCUCAACUCGGGAACUGCCCCUAAUACUG